RNAcentral lists this transfer RNA (86 nucleotides) under Lachnospiraceae bacterium OF09-33XD. It matches the Rfam family "tRNA". Rfam says of the family: Transfer RNA (tRNA) molecules are approximately 80 nucleotides in length. Their secondary structure includes four short double-helical elements and three loops (D, anti-codon, and T loops). Further hydrogen bonds mediate the characteristic L-shaped molecular structure. tRNAs have two regions of fundamental functional importance: the anti-codon, which is responsible for specific mRNA codon recognition, and the 3' end, to which the tRNAs corresponding amino acid is attached (by aminoacyl-tRNA synthetases). tRNAs cope with the degeneracy of the genetic code in two manners: having more than one tRNA (with a specific anti-codon) for a particular amino acid; and 'wobble' base-pairing, i.e. permitting non-standard base-pairing at the 3rd anti-codon position. The record is from Rfam by way of RNAcentral. Lineage: Bacteria; Bacillati; Bacillota; Clostridia; Lachnospirales; Lachnospiraceae. RNAcentral also lists the same sequence under 2 other names.
GGAGUGGUAGCGAAGCGGCCGUAACGCGCUUGACUCGAAAUCAAGUUGUCCUCUGGGGCACGCGGGUUCGAAUCCCGCCCACUCCG